This is a long non-coding RNA of Aedes albopictus (Asian tiger mosquito), 1330 nucleotides long. RefSeq lists it as uncharacterized. The transcript has 5 exons. The record is from RefSeq and is a predicted model, not a curated record. NCBI's taxonomy places the organism in Eukaryota, Metazoa, Arthropoda, Insecta, Diptera, Culicidae.
CAGCUUUUCAUGAUGCGAUAGUACGUCUCGCAACACUGCCGACUUUGUUGUGAUCGGCCAAGCGCGCGGCAAGUGGGCAUCCAUUUUGGAGAAAACGAGAAAAACGAUUUCGGCUCAAAUUGUGUUUGCUUUUGAAGGAUAACUGAACGUGUAAGCGGAGAUCCCGGCUUCGUAUAGUUCCAGCAGGCACCAUUUCAAAUACCAAGUCGCCGACGAAUCAACAUCUUGGUUUGUAAAUCCGGCCGAACCUAUUACUAUGUGCUAUUACGAUCUUGAUUGAUCUUGGCCAAGUGUGAUACCAGCUACGGAUAAAUCACUCCCAAAAAAUCACCAGAAGAACCACAUUCCAAUAUGACAACCCCCAAAACUAAGCGCGACAGGUGCCACAUCGGUUCCGGCGGUGUUUGCAACCGGCGGAGGGCGGUGUUAGCCACGAAAUCCAUCGCCACCACAGGACCCAGUGUGCCGUAUCCGUAUCCAACACCACCGCCAUCACCGUAAUCACAUCCAGCCAGAAAAAUCGAUCUGAUAUGCCAAGCGCUGCUGAUCGUCAGUGGGGGACAGGAGGAUGGUCAAUUUGCGAGGACUUGGACGCUCUGAAGGACUCUGAAGUAGACGUGAACUCCGGCAAAGGCAAAUCAUGAUCCCGUGCAACAGAAUAACAGAUAUCUGAGUCGCAGCUGGCUUGCAGGACCGGACAUCAACCUCCUUCACAAUGGAGCUUAGAGUCCUUCUCUAGCACUCGGACGUCGAUCAGCCGAACAAUGUGGAUAACAGACGCUGUUCUGUGCCGUUUCGUUUUGAGAGCUCUUCUGAUUAUAUCCAGUGGUACAGGAAGCGGUCUUCUCCGGCGAUGCCAACAUCCCCACCAUCUGGAGGUCCGGCAGUGCCACUUCAAAUGAUUAUCGCACGUCUCGCAGCUGAUACAGCACCUCCAGGACACGCCGACUUCUACGUUGAGAAAUCAUCAGCUGGGUACCGUGGGAAUUCAUCAGCUGGGUACCGUCGAUUUGUCGUGUCUACCCAAGCGAUACCAACAAAAUGUACAAACGGGAGUCGAACGUUUACGGAUCGACACCACGCUGCUGGGGUUUGAUAUGCGGAAAUAGGAGCUACAGUUUUGAAAACCAGUCGGAGUCGGCUACCAUGAUCGACUAAGGAAGCAAUGUCGAAUUUAGAACCCGUCCUCAUGUGUCACCAUGCAGCUUUCGCGGGAUUCCCCGUUAAGACCGAGAUCCUGCUUUUCCACGUAAUGAACGCGAUCCUCUAAUAUUUGGAAACGAGUUCGCGAUAAAAGCGCAGCAGUCUGCAAGAGAGCGAGGAGCGCACC